GGGGCUGUGGUUUAGUGGCAGAGCAUCUGCCUUGCUUGCAAAAGGUCUCCGGUUCAAUUCCUGGCAUCCCCA
This 72-nucleotide transfer RNA is filed under the name Sphaerodactylus townsendi. Its description in RNAcentral is "tRNA-Ala". It matches the Rfam family "tRNA". Rfam says of the family: Transfer RNA (tRNA) molecules are approximately 80 nucleotides in length. Their secondary structure includes four short double-helical elements and three loops (D, anti-codon, and T loops). The record is from RNAcentral. Lineage: Eukaryota; Metazoa; Chordata; Lepidosauria; Squamata; Sphaerodactylidae.